CACUUUACUUUUUCCCCCACUUUCGUCCCUCUGCUUAUAUCUCUAAGCUCUCUCUCUCUUUUUGCUAUCUCACACACAGCUCUGGCACUGCGAUUUUGAUAAACAGGGACUGAGGAAAUGGUGGUGUUCAAGGUUUCGCGAGUGGGGACUAAGCCCAUCGAUGGCCAGAAACCGGGAACUUCUGGCCUUCGCAAGAAGGUGAAAGUUUUCAU
This 212-nucleotide unclassified non-coding RNA is filed under the name Hevea brasiliensis (rubber tree). The record is from RNAcentral. Lineage: Eukaryota; Viridiplantae; Streptophyta; Magnoliopsida; Malpighiales; Euphorbiaceae.